UUCCAGUCUGUGCUAGCAAAACAGUCCUGUAGCUUAGCAACAAUGAACAUAGGAUUUGGCAAGACAGCACAAACAGGUGCCAAGAACACUGAUUAAUCCCCCCAUUAUAGCAGUGCCAGUGUUGUUGGGUUUAUAGAUACCUACUUAUAUCUAUCUGUGUUAUUGAGUUGAUGAGUGCCAGUCUUCUCUACAAACAGCACAGACACAACAGGACCAUGACUGUGUCUGCACACAUAACAAUACUGUCGAUAAAGUUGAUAUAAACUAGUAUGCUGGGACAGCAACUUCCUGUCUCGUUACAUUACCGUGGUAACCAUUGCAACAUGCCUUACAGUACACUCUUAUAUCUCCUUAGACGUAAUCCGUCAGCACCACUUUAUGUUACCUCUGCUUUUGCCAAAGGGACACUCCGAUACGAUUGAGGCUCUCAGUCCAUAUUUAUAUUUCAUUAUUUGUGUCUAUUCAAGCGUUUUUUUUAAAUCUGCUGUUUGUAUUUAUUUAUUUGUUUUACUCGAAAAGUAUUGUUUUAAUUCGCCUGGUGCCCGGUAAUAUUAAUCCUUCAGACAUAUAGUUAAUUUGAUCCAAAUUCAAAUUAAAUCAUUUGCCAGUAGAAUCUCUAAUAGGACAUUGUAUACUGCUAGAAUAUAUUCAGUAGUUCUACAAAUACUGGACUUUUCCUUGAUGCGCGAAUUUGGAUUACAUUUGGAUUUUUGUUUGUGUACCAAAAAUACCUGUACUCGGUUGUUUACAAUUUAUCUCCCUUUCCAGCUUUUCCACAACAUUCCCAUUGGAAUACAUUCCCAUUUAAAACGUUUUAUUUAUACGCAUUCAUUUUCCCAAUACUUCCAAACAUAUUGUUGAAGUGUAUUGUAAGAUAUGAUUCUAUGUGUUACAUGUAAGGGCAUAAGACUGGAGGUACUCAAGCAUUCAAGGACAACUGGCUGUGUGCCUCGUGUGAAAAUCAGGAAUCUGCAACGUUGUGGGGAUUUGACCAACUAUCUUUACUACAAUAUACAAACUUAAAAAUAGACUUUCUUUGACAUCUACAUUAACUUAAAAUAGCCUUCCAUUGACAUCUACAUGAACUUGUUGGAACAGUCUGUGAAAUAAUAAUGGAUGUUACUGUAACUGUGAUGGGAUACGCACACAUUACAUGAGUAUUACUGUAACUGGGUGUUACUGUAACUACGGGUGUUACUGUAACUAUGGGUGUUACUGUAACUAUGGGUGUUACUGUAACUAUGGGGGAAGUGUAUACAGUACACACGUUACAUGUUGCUCUUGAAGUGCUUUGAAAAUAUAUCAAAUGUAAUAAAUUAUUAGUAUUAUUAUUAUUAUUAUUACUACAUGAUUGUUACGUUAACUAUGAUGGGAGAUGUGUAUACAAACAUGUUACAUGAGUGUUACAUGAACAGUGGGACAGGUUUAUACAAACAUGUUACAUGAGUGUUACAUGAACAGUGGUACAGGUUUAUACAAGCAUGUUACAUGAGUGUUACAUGAACAGAGGGACAGGUUUAUACAAACAUGUUACAUGAGUGUUACAUGAACAGUGGGACAGGUUUAUACAAACAUGUUACAUGAGUGUUACAUGAACAGUGGGACAGGUUUAUACAAACAUGUUACAUGAGUGUUACAUGAACAGUGGGAUAGGUUUAUACAAACAUGUUACAUGAGUGUUACAUGAACAGUGGUACAGGUUUAUACAAACAUGUUACAUGAGUGUUACAUGAACAGUGGGACAGGUUUAUGCAAACAUGUUACAUGAGUGUUACUUCAAUUGUGGUACAGGUUUAUACAAACAUGUUACAUGAGUGUUACUUCAACUGUGGUACAGGUUUAUACAAACAUGUUACAUGAGUGUUACUUCAACUGUGGUACAGGUUUAUACAAACAUGUUACAUGAGUGUUACAUGAACAGUGGGACAGGUUUAUACAAACAUGUUGCAGUAUGAGUGUUAUUGUAACAUGGGACAGACAGACAGACAGACAGACAGACAGACAGGCAGGCAGGCAGGCA
Molecule: long non-coding RNA, 2020 nt
Organism: Coregonus clupeaformis (lake whitefish)
Lineage: Eukaryota; Metazoa; Chordata; Actinopteri; Salmoniformes; Salmonidae
Exons: 2
Source: RefSeq, a predicted model, not a curated record